This is a long non-coding RNA of Pogoniulus pusillus (Red-fronted tinkerbird), 2075 nucleotides long. RefSeq lists it as uncharacterized. The transcript has 2 exons. The record is from RefSeq and is a predicted model, not a curated record. Lineage: Eukaryota; Metazoa; Chordata; Aves; Piciformes; Lybiidae.
AGAAGGAAAAACCCAACUGGGAGAGCCCAGAUGGGAGAUCUGGGCUCUGCCACCACGGUGCGAGCUGUCAGCAGGCGAGCUGGAGGAGCCAGGAUGCCCUCUGCGAGGUGGAGCUCUCAUUGUCUGCGUGGCAGAGGACGAGAAGGGAAGUCAUCUGCGCCAAAAAUAGCCUCAGGGUUUGGGAAGUGAAACUCUGUUCCUGUGACCUCUCACACCGGUGCUGAUGUGCAGAGCAGCGAAGUCUUUGGCUCCCAAGGGGCUUCUCUUCUGCCCCCUGGGUCCCUCUGCUCCCUCCAGGCACAUCUUCUGGGGCUGCCCUCCCACCCCAGCCCCACCACCCUGCGCUGGAAUCCUCACCGUGGCUCUGCGGACUCUGGCUGGGACAGCACAUCUGUCUGUUGCUAUGGCUGCGGUACCCUGGCAGGGAUGGCUGGAGAAUCACCGCCAGCCUCCCUCCUGCCCGACCUGCUCCCGGACCCCCACCCCCCUGCCCGGGGCCGGCCCCUUCCCAACCCAACUCCGGGCCCUGGGAUCCUACCUCGGGAUGCCGCCUUGGCAACACCUUUUCAUUUGCAUAAUUAAUGAGGCCGCGGCUGCGAGGCUCCUGGGAAAUGCGACGCAGAGCAGCAGGAGGUGGCACGGAGGGCUCCAGCCUUCCCGGGGGCUGCUCGCAGCCGCUCCCCAGCUCCAGGGGGGCUGUUCUCCCCUCUCCGUUAAUUCACCGCCCACCUCUGUCUGAGCAGAUUGCUCUGGGCACAAUCCUGCCGCCCCCCUCCCCCUGCCAGGCCUGCCUGUGCCAAGCAGGAUCUGGCUGGGGUGGUGCUGGUGGGACACAGACAUGCGCUGGUGCCAAGGCCAGAGGCCACCCGCAGCACCCAGGGGAGCUGGGAGGUGCUGGGUCGUGCUGUGGACCACAGGCUCCCCUGGCUUCCCCCUGCUGGGUGGACUGCUGCCAGCAGCGCCGCCAGGACCCUCUGCCCACGCUGCCAUCGCCUGCAGCUCCAUGACUCGCUGCAUCAAGCUGUGUGUGCUGCUUGCCCCUGCAGUGCCAGGGCACCAUCCUGUGCCUGCAGCCGCGGCGCCAGCGCUGUCAAUGUGCUGCCAGUGGCAUGACUAUGGCGACAGCACCGUGACUGCAGCACCAGUGCCAUGACAAGCUGGUACAUCCCUGGGGAUAGACGCUGCCAGAGGAAGGUGGGUGGUUGAUCCACAGGAUGAGCCUCCUGACUGGUCCCUGGUGCCAGCUGCUGCCUGGUGAUCCAGCCAGGAUCCCUGGCAUGUGCUUUGCCAGCAGUGCCCUUCUCCUGGGGCAUUGCACUUCCUCGUAGCUCCUUCCUCUGCUCCCAGGAAGCCAGCCUGCCCCUUGGCCUGCCUGGGACACCCACGUGUCCUUUGUUCCUGGUGUUGAUGCUGCCCUUUUGCCUACUGGCAUUGAGCCCAGCCCUGAAUCCAGGCCUGAGAGUGUUUGAAAACCCAAACCCAGACCCGUGUCCAGUGGGAUGUGCCUGUUCCAGCAGGUCCCACCUCUGAAUUCAGAGACCAGAAACUGAUGCAGAAGAUCUCCUUCCAUCCAGAUCCUGCUGAGCUCUGCUCAGCCAUGACCUUCAGUGCAGCCAUGGUGCAUUUAUUUCUGCCUGCCACCGCGGUGGGGAGGGAAGACUGAGUGCAGCUGGGACCACGAUGAGCACAAACCAUCAGCCAGGACCCUCCACCAGUGCUGCAGGUGCCAGGGUGGACUGUGCAGGACAGGGCUGCCCCUGGCUUUUCCCCUUCUCUCUAACGCAGGCAACCAAUGACAGCACUUCCCUGCAGCCCCUGGCCUCUGUAGAGCACCCUGUGAGCUCCAGCUGGUGGGAGCAUCUCCAGAGUCUGAGCAUCAUGCUGGAGGCUGGUGGAAGGUAGGGCUGUGGGCUGGGGUGGUAGGACUCUUUGUCAGGCACUGCUGCCUCUUUAAAGGAGGAAGGAGGAUGGCACAGAGAGAGAGAGAGAGCUGUGGGCUGCUCCCAGGUCCUGUUUGAUUCUUAUCAGUCCCUGCAUUUUUGUGUAUGAUUCAAUAAAGUCCUUUGCUUGCACAA